CCUACGGGUGGCAGCAGUGGGGGAUAUUGCACAAUGGGGGAAACCCUGAUGCAGCGACGCCGCGUGGGCGAAGAAGGAUUUCGGGAUGUAAAGCCCUAUCAGCAGGGAAGAAGAAAGGACGGUACCUGAGUAAGAAGCACCGGCUAAAGACGAGCCAGCAGCCGCGGUAAUACGUCUGGUGCAAGCGUUAUCCGGAUUUACUGGGUGUAAAGGGAGCGCAGGCGGCACGGCAAGCCUGAUGUGAAAGCCCGCGGCCCAACCGCGGGACUGCUUUGGGAACUACCGGGCUGGAGUGCCGGAGAGUUAGGCGGAAUUCCUAGUGUAGCGGUUAAAUGCGUAGAUAUUAGGAGGAACUCCAGUGGCGAAGGCGGCCUACUGGACUGUGACUGACGCUGAGGCUCGAAAGCGUGGGUAGCAAACAGGAUUAGAUACCCGGGUAGUC
RNAcentral lists this ribosomal RNA (442 nucleotides) under uncultured bacterium. RNAcentral's name for it is "partial 16S ribosomal RNA". It matches the Rfam family "Bacterial small subunit ribosomal RNA", at positions 338 to 795 of the family's 1533-position model. The record is from RNAcentral.